This is an RNA transcript of Dreissena polymorpha, 3260 nucleotides long. RefSeq lists it as uncharacterized. The record is from RefSeq and is a predicted model, not a curated record. Lineage: Eukaryota; Metazoa; Mollusca; Bivalvia; Myida; Dreissenidae. The transcript has 9 exons.
GUCGUUCCAUGCUCUCACAUAAAUGAUAACGAACGAAAAGUAGAUCUAAUCGUCGUUCCAGAGAUAGAAUUAAAUUAACCGUCGUUCAAAAGAGUGUUUAUAGCAAUGAAGCUGAAAGAAAACGGACAUGUUGUUGAUUUUUUAGAACACUUCAAAAGAAAACUUGAUUGCAGAAUUAAUUGCCUAAAAGUGGAAAGAUGUUUUAGAGAAAGUUUCACAGGUCUGGUGUUGGGAGGUGAAGAUGGCCUUGUUCGAGUGUAUGAUAUGACUCAGCUCACACAGGGCAACCAGCCAGUAAAUGUGCUGCUGGAAACAAAAGGUGGACCAAUACAGGCAUUGGCAAUCCAUGACAUCACUCAUUUCUAUAAGGAGGACAUCAUAACUGGGGACUCAGUUGGCAUGGUGACCAUAUUCUGCAAUGAGCAAAUCUUGUCAAGGCACUCACUGUCAAAGAGUACCAUCAAAUGCCUACAGAUUUAUACAGAUGCCUUGGGUAACUGCUACAUAGUUGUUGCUGAUGAUGCAGGCUAUAUUUACGCCAUUCAGCCAUCAAAACAGCUGUGGAGAAUCAACAUCAAUAACGUUCACACAUCUCGGGGGCCAUUAGAGCGUGCCAGUGUGACGUGCAUGCUGUGUGUGCCUCUUCCCAAUGGCACUGGCCAGCUGUGCAGCUACAUUCUCGCAGCAGAUGACAAACGCCGUCUACAUGUGAUAUCCCAGGGAGACAUUGUGAUGACCAUUCACACACCAGAUACUGUCACAGCAAUGUGUUGUGGAUUAUUCAUUGCCGAGGAGAAGCUAGAAGCUGGCCCAGAUACUUUUUCCCACCAACAUCCUGUACAAGUUGCACUGGGCUGCACAAGUGGGGCCUUAUAUAUUCUUCAGAACUUCACAAUAUCAGAGGAAGAAUUUGGUAACGCUGGUUGUCACAUCAGCCAGAUGUUGAGCCAUCCAGCAGUGAAUGGCAAGAUAGAUUACCUGCUGUGUGCUGGACACUUCAGCGCCUUGCAAGUGUUUUUGGAGGGCAAGCAAAUUGGCAGCUAUGAGACUCCAAACUGGGUGAACUGCAUGGAUAUCUUGUGUCCUGGCAAGGAUCAGAGACCACAGAUUGUGUUUGCCUGUCUCGACAAUUCUGUUCAUGGAGUAUCUCUCGCAGAAGGCUGAAAAGUUGUUGUUGAAUGAAUUCUCCAACAGUGUUAACUAUAUGACUCUAGAAGGGUGAAUAUUGUGAUCUGAGUAUUCAACUGAUUGCAUGUCGAACCUUUGCAAUCGAUAUUGAGAUCUGAAGCCUGAACAAUAGUACUUUUCUCACCUUCAACUGGAAUGGCAAGUGCAUCCAUAAGACUGAUAAUGCAAUGUUGCUUUUACAAUUCAACAGAAAGUGUGCUCAUUAUUUGGUGGACAAAAUGGGCAAGUGGAAAACAGUACAUGUAUUCAAUAAGAAAAAGGGUAUGGUCCUUAUAAGUAUAUAAUGCCAACACACAUGAAUGUUAUCCUUUCAGACAGUUGUACAAUUUGUGUAUUAAUACUCCAAAUUAAUCUAACUAAAAUUAACAUUGCAAAUUUUAAUAUGUUUGAAUUCUUCAAUAAUAACUUAUCACAUUAUUGUUGGCAUAUACUUAACAUGGAAGUUGGGAAAAUUGUCUUGUUAUAUUCAACACAAACUUUGUACAAAAUCUCAGACUGUUGUGCAGGUUUUUAUAAAAAUAUUGGAAGAAUAUGAGACAUUUUUUUUUCUUUUUUUUAAACUUAUUCAAUAAAAUUUAUUCAUUAAUUGGCUGUAAAGUCUUCAUUAAUAUUGGGACUUCAUAUCUUUGGGACACCUUUCUUUUUCUAAAGCAUUUUGUUAUAAGCAUGUAUACCUACUAUUUAAAUUGUAACUUUUUGCUCUUCAUGUGGUUAAAUUGUUUGUAAUAAUUAAACAUUCACUUUCAGUAUAUUGCUUGAACUUAGCCCGAGACAGGCUCAGGGCUUUGAUAAACCUUUAAAUGCCCAAUUUCUGGGCGUCUUAAUCUGAUUUCGGAAGUUUAAGUCUCAGCAGUAAUUUGUACUUGCAACUAGCUCGACUGGGCUAUAGCUUAGAAAUAUCGCAAGCCCAAAUCAGUUUCAAUUAUGAUUAUCUGUAUUCAUUUAUUGUGUGACAAAGCAGAGAAAAAAUGGACGUCCAUUCAUAAGUUUGAGCUCUUAUUAUAAAUAUUUCUUUCAUUUUCGAACAAACAUUAUUUAAACUAUAUUUUCACACUUACUUGGUCGAGGUAGGAUAAAGGAUACAAGUGCAAUCAUUUUUAGCUCAUCUAUUUUUUUAUUUUUUUUAAAUUAGCUCAUCUAUUUUUUGAAAAAAAAAUGAGCUAUUGUCAACACCUUGGUGUAGACGUUGGCGUCUGCGUCGGCGUUCGGUUAAGUUUUGCGUUUAGGUCCACUUUUCUCAGAAAGUAUCAAUGAUGUUGCAUUCAAACUUGGUACACUUACUUACUAUCAUGAGGGGACUGGGCAGGCAAAGUUAGAUAGCUCUGGCGUGCAUUUUGACAGAAUUAUGUGCCCUUUUUAUACUUAGAAAAUUGAAAAUUUUGGUUAAGUUUUGUGUUAUGGUCCAUUUUAUUCCUUAAGUAUCAAAGCUAUUGCUUUCAUACUUGCAACACUUACUAACUAUCAUAAGGGGACUGUGCAGGCAAAGUUAUGUAACUCUGACUGGCAUUUUGACAGAAUUAUGUGCCCUUUUUAUACUUAGAAAAUUAAAAAUUUGGUUAAGUUUUGUGUUUAGGUCCACUUUAUUCCUACAGUAUCAAAGCUAUUGCUUUCAUACUUGCAACACUUAUUAACUAUCAUAAGGGGACUGUGCAGGCAAAGUUAUGUAACUCUGACUAGCAUUUAGACGGAAUUAUGGGCCCUUUAUACUUAGAAAAUUGAAAAUUUGGUUAAGUUUUGUGUUUUGGUCCACUUUAUCCCUAAAGUAUCAUAGAUAUUGCUUUCAUACUUGGAACACUUGCAAACUAUCAUAAGGGUACAGUAAAAGGAGAAGUUGCAUAACACUGGUUGUCAUUUUUACGGAAUUAUGGCCCUUUUUUGACUUAGUAACUUUGAAUAUAUGGUUAAAUUUUGUGUUUCGAUCCACUUUUCUUCUAAAGUAUCAAGGCUAUUGCUUUCAAACUUCAAAUACUUUCAUGCUAUCAUGAGGUUACUGUACCUGGCAAGUUGAAUUUUACCUUGACCUUUGAAUGACCUUGACUCUGAAGGUCAAAUUAUUAAAUUUUGCUAAAAUU